GAUGAACGCUGGCGGCGUGCCUAAUACAUGCAAGUCGAACGCAUAGCGAAAGGUGCUUGCACCUUUCAAGUGAGUGGCGAACGGGUGAGUAACACGUGGACAACCUGCCUCAAGGCUGGGGAUAACAUUUGGAAACAGAUGCUAAUACCGAAUAAAACUUAGUGUCGCAUGACACAAAGUUAAAAGGCGCUUCGGCGCCACCUAGAGAUGGAUCCGCGGUGCAUUAGUUAGUUGGUGGGGUAAAGGCCUACCAAGACAAUGAUGCAUAGCCGAGUUGAGAGACUGAUCGGCCACAUUGGGACUGAGACACGGCCCAAACUCCUACGGGAGGCUGCAGUAGGGAAUCUUCCACAAUGGGCGAAAACCUGAUGGAGCAACGCCGCGUGUGUGAUGAAGGCUUUCGGGUCGUAAAGCACUGUUGUAUGGGAAGAACAGCUAGAAUAGGAAAUGAUUUUAGUUUGACGGUACCAUACCAGAAAGGGACGGCUAAGUACGUG
This 497-nucleotide ribosomal RNA is filed under the name uncultured bacterium. RNAcentral describes it as "partial 16S ribosomal RNA". It matches the Rfam family "Bacterial small subunit ribosomal RNA", at positions 28 to 507 of the family's 1533-position model. The record is from RNAcentral.